UAUCCCAACAAGGUGGCUACUGACUCUUCACAGGGAACUCCUGGCCAGAUUUGCCCACCCCAAGCACAUGGGGAAUAGUGAUAGAAGUUUGUGCAGCUGUGUUUCCAGGUGAGCUAGAUGGCAUGGGGAAGUCAGGCUGGAGUUUGUGGCUUGGUUUAACUAACUCCUUGGACUCUGUAUUGCCCCAUAUAGGUAUAGUGGUUGUUGGGGAGAGGAUGAGGUAACCCCAGUAAAAUCCCUUAGAGAUACGGCGUCUGGACACAUGACCCUUCUCUUCCUCUCCUUGCCUUUCCCCAGUUCCGCCAUGGAAGUUCCUCUCAAAAACCCUCUUUCUGGUUUACUCACCUCACUAAAAUAUGCACUUGCCCAUAAUAGAAAAGUUCUGAUGACUCCUCAAUGCCUGUAUUUACCAAACUCCAUGAAUAGCAGGAGGAUCGGGAAGCAGGGAGCUUCCAGGAGUUGAAAGUAAGGUUAAGUCAUCUUCAUUCUCCCCCCAAUAUGACCUGAAGCUGUUUGCCUCAAGAGAGGCACAAUCAAGCCCACCUCACCAUAGCAGGUUUUAGGUUUUUUAAUAGAUCAUACAGUUUAUUCUGGCAAAUACCUGCAAGUCACCAAUGAUCCAGUUUCAACCAGCUGUCUUGUUUGAUCUUCAUGUUUUUAUUGCUUUCUGUGUUUAAAUUAGCUAGUUAUACAUUUCAGAUGAUUCAUAUUAUCAAAAUGUUUAUUUCUGGCCCACUUGAGAAAAGUCAUAAACAGUAAACUAACAAUUAGGGCCCAACAAGGUUCCUUCAAGGAUACAAGCAGCUGUGUCUGAGGAAGGGCUCAGCCCAUUAUAGACUCAGAGUGCUCUCUCAAGUUGGCUGAGCCCGCAGCUUGUCUUCUUCACUCUAAUAAAUAAAAUGCCCAGUUGUCCCCUGGAAUCAUUUGUGUGUAGCUUUGAGGUGAGGCCCAGGGAAAACUGCUUAGCCUGCCUUUUGGCUUACUUUGACUCCAUUAUUUAUUUAUUUAUUUUAUAUUCAUCAUACCAAUAGGUACUACAGGUAGGCUUUCUGCCAGGUAGUCUUCUAGGCACAGGCACUUAUGAUGUGGUAAUGAUCAAAAGAAACAAAAUAAUCCUACCCUCAUGGAACUUUUAUUUUCAUUUGCCAGACAGUAGCCAAGAUACAGUGACUAAAUAUAAAGCAAUUUCAACGUGGUAAGUGUUAAGAAGGAAAAAAAGGAAAGCAAGAAUGGGGAAUGGAAAUUCCAGACAGGAGUGUGAAAUUGAUUAGAUAGGGAGGCCAGGAGAGCCUCACUGAGAACAUGGCUUCUGAGUAAAGACCUAAAGGCAAUGAGAGGACUGACCCUGUGCAUGUCUGGGGAAGGAGCAUUCCAGGUAGGGGGUUGCGAGUGCUGAGCUGAGCUCCCAAGACACUUGUGACCUGCCAUGUUCCAGAAACACUGAGGAUACUAGCAUGGCUGAAGCUGAGCUAGCGAGGUAGAGAAUAUCAAGAAGUGAGUUCAGGGAGGUGGUGGGGAUCCAAGAGAAGCAGAUAGCUUGGAGCCUUGGAGGUGAUGGAAUGAAUUUGGCUUUUACACUGAGUGUGACGGGGAGCCAAUCAAAUAUUUUCAGCAGUGGCAUGGCAUGCUUUUCCUUAUAUUUUAACAGUAUCACUGACAAUUCGAUAACUCUGGAAAGUAAUUUUUAUGGAGUAUAAGGAGUAAGGUCAAAUAUGUCAGUGAAUCAGAGCAGGGACCUAGAAACAGAUUUGUAAGUAGAAAACGAAUUAUAAAGUGACAUUUUAGAUGAAUGAAAAAAAGUGUUUAAUUCAAUAAGUGGUGCUGGAUUAAUCUGUUUGUGUGUUUUUUCCCUUUGGCAAAAAUAAACUUAAGCCACUUUAUCACACUUUACACACAAAAUAAAUUGCAAGUGGAAAAUAGUUAAUACCUAGAUUUGGAAAGUAACAUUUAUAAAAUUUCUAGAAUAAAAUGAAAGAGAAUGUUUAUAUUAUUUACUUGUGAAAAUAGGGAAGAUUUUGUUUAAAGGCAAAAAAUGCACAGGUAUUGAGGGAAAAGUUUGAUAUGUUUGAUUAAAAUAUGCAAACCCCUAAUUUCAAAAUCAUCAUAUACAUGGUGGAGUAAAAUGCGAUUAGGCUACAAAUUACAAUAUUUAAAAUGACAAAAUAAAUAAAAAAUAUGUUCAAUGAGAAAAAACAAACAGUCCAUAGAAAACUUGGGUAAAAACAUGAACAGGCAAUUCACAAUAGACCACAUGGUCAAUAAACAUACAUUACCUUAAUAUGCUCCCUGUUACCUUAUUGUAUCUUCAUAACAUAUGUAAUCUUGUAUCAUACCACAUAAUUUCCUUAGUUAAUAUGUUUAUUGUUUUCCUACAAGAAUGUAAUCCUUGUAAGUGCAUGUUUUUUCUUCUUUCACACUCACCAAUGUAUCCCAAGUCCUUAGAAGAAUAUCUGGCUUAUAAAUAUUUGUUGACUACAUGAAUCUCAUUGGUAAGUAAGAAAAUAAAUUAAAUAAAAUGAUUUCACACACAUCAGAGCAGCAAUACAUGUGAAGUUUGAAAAUAUGUAUUGACUAGUUAAACAAGGGAGAGAGCCUGUACACUGUAGGUCUUACUUUAAGUCAGAGAGAAACUUGCCAUUAUCUUAUGUUUGAAGAUGGCAUAUUACCAGCAAUUUCAUAUUGUUGCAAAGCAAUUCCACAUUUGUCUGAUAUGCUUCUGUACUCUUGAAUGAAAGACACUAACUAUUCUUUCUUUUAAGCUAUCUUUCUAAAGGUGUUUGAAUAGCAAGCAGUUUUGACAGAUAGAGAUAGUAUCUCUCUCUGAAGUAAAGAGCAGGUUUGCUUAGAGCCUGUGGAAGAUAGAAUGAUUUCCUCUGGAGCAAAGGGAAGGAAUGCUCAUUCCAAGAUAAUAAAGAUAAUGUCUCCUUCAAGAACAAAGGGAAGGGGCACUUACUGCCCAUUAUAAAAGUUAGAGCUUCCCAAACUGAGUUUCCCUUUCUGGGAAUGCAACCAACUUUAUAUGUAGGUGUCAUAUGACCAUUUUAUAUCACCCUGUGCUAAGUGUGACUCAGACUUCCUGGGCAUAAGUACUGAUAUUUGGGCUAUUGCUAUUGCUGUGAAUAAUAAACUAUCCUUUGUCUCUGA
This is a non-coding RNA of Miniopterus natalensis, 3144 nucleotides long. The record is from RefSeq and is a predicted model, not a curated record. NCBI's taxonomy places the organism in Eukaryota, Metazoa, Chordata, Mammalia, Chiroptera, Miniopteridae.